RNAcentral lists this ribosomal RNA (509 nucleotides) under uncultured Acidobacteriota bacterium. Its description in RNAcentral is "bacterial SSU rRNA". It matches the Rfam family "Bacterial small subunit ribosomal RNA", at positions 548 to 1050 of the family's 1533-position model. The record is from RNAcentral. Lineage: Bacteria; Pseudomonadati; Acidobacteriota.
GAUUUACUGGGCGUAAAGGGCGCGUAGGCGGCGCAACAAGUCACUUGUGAAAUCUCCGGGCUUAACCCGGAGCGGCCAAGUGAUACUGUCGUGCUAGAGUGCGGAAGGGGCUACUGGAAUUCUCGGUGUAGCGGUGAAAUGCGUAGAUAUCGAGAGGAACACCUGCGGCGAAGGCGGGUAGCUGGGCCGACACUGACGCUGAGGCGCGAAAGCCAGGGGAGCGAACGGGAUUAGAUACCCCGGUAGUCCUGGCCUUAAACGAUGGAUACUUGGUGUCCGGGGUUACAUAGUCCCCGGGUGCCGGCGCUAACGCAUUAAGUAUCCCGCCUGGGGAGUACGGUCGCAAGACUGAAACUCAAAGGAAUUGACGGGGACCCGCACAAGCGGUGGAGCAUGUGGUUUAAUUCGACGCAACGCGAAGAACCUUACCUGGGCUAGAAUGCCUCCGACAACCCCGGAGACGGGGCCUCCUGGGUAAAACCAGGCGGAGUGCAAGGUGCUGCAUGGCU